Molecule: ribosomal RNA, 433 nt
Filed under: uncultured bacterium
Lineage: Bacteria
Description: partial 16S ribosomal RNA
Rfam family: Bacterial small subunit ribosomal RNA
Source: RNAcentral
AACGAACGCUGGCGGCAUGCCUAACACAUGCAAGUCGAACGAGACCUUCGGGUCUAGUGGCGCACGGGUGCGUAACGCGUGGGAACCUGCCCUUAGGUUCGGAAUAACUCCCCGAAAGGGGUGCUAAUACCGGAUAAUGUCUUUGGACCAAAGAUUUAUCGCCUUUGGAUGGGCCCGCGUUGGAUUAGCUAGUUGGUAGGGUAAAAGCCUACCAAGGCGACGAUCCAUAGCUGGUCUGAGAGGAUGAUCAGCCACACUGGGACUGAGACACGGCCCAGACUCCUACGGGAGGCAGCAGUGGGGAAUAUUGGACAAUGGGCGAAAGCCUGAUCCAACAAUGCCGCGUGAGUGAUGAAGGCCUUAGGGUUGUAAAGCUCUUUUACCCGGGAUGAUAAUGACAGUACCGGGAGAAUAAGCUCCGGCUAACUCCGUG